GCUUGUCUCAAAGAUUAAGCCAUGCAUGUCUAAGUAUAAGCUUUUUGUACUGUGAAACUGCGAAUGGCUCAUUAAAUCAGUUAUCGUUUAUUUGAUCGCACCUUUACUACAUGGAUACCUGUGGUAAUUCUAGAGCUAAUACAUGCUUAAAACCCCGACUUCGGAAGGGGUGUAUUUAUUAGAUAAAAAACCAACGCCCUUCGGGGCUUCUUGGUGAAUCAUAAUAACUUAACGAAUCGCAUGGCCUUGCGCCGGCGAUGGUUCAUUCAAAUUUCUGCCCUAUCAACUUUCGAUGGUAGGAUAGUGGCCUACCAUGGUGGCAACGGGUAACGGGGAAUUAGGGUUCGAUUCCGGAGAGGGAGCCUGAGAAACGGCUACCACAUCCAAGGAAGGCAGCAG
RNAcentral lists this ribosomal RNA (399 nucleotides) under Penicillium chrysogenum. RNAcentral describes it as "partial small subunit ribosomal RNA". It matches the Rfam family "Eukaryotic small subunit ribosomal RNA", at positions 30 to 431 of the family's 1831-position model. The record is from RNAcentral. Lineage: Eukaryota; Fungi; Ascomycota; Eurotiomycetes; Eurotiales; Aspergillaceae.